CUUGACCGACCCCAGCAGCAGCGGCGUGUCCCGCCCCUGCCCGUACGUGGCGAGCAGCGCCUGCGCCUC
Molecule: non-coding RNA, 69 nt
Organism: Micromonospora carbonacea
Lineage: Bacteria; Bacillati; Actinomycetota; Actinomycetes; Micromonosporales; Micromonosporaceae
Rfam family: ASpks TB sRNA
Source: Rfam